AUUGAACGCUGGCGGCAUGCCUAACACAUGCAAGUCGAACGGUAACGCGAGGAGCUUGCUCCUUGGCGACGAGUGGCGGACGGGUGAGUAAUGCUUAGGAAUCUGCCCAUGUAGUGGGGGACAACACGGGGAAACUCGUGCUAAUACCGCAUACGCCCUACGGGGGAAAGCGGGGGAUCUUCGGACCUCGCGCUAUUGGAUGAGCCUAAGUCGGAUUAGCUUGUUGGUAGGGUAAAGGCCUACCAAGGCGACGAUCCGUAGCUGGUCUGAGAGGACGAUCAGCCACACUGGGACUGAGACACGGCCCAGACUCCUACGGGAGGCAGCAGUGGGGAAUAUUGGACAAUGGGGGCAACCCUGAUCCAGCAAUGCCGCGUGUGUGAAGAAGGCCUGCGGGUUGUAAAGCACUUUCAGUAGAGAAGAAAAGCUUAGGGUUAAUACCCUUGAGUCUUGACGUAACCUACAGAAGAAGCACCGGCUAACUCCGUG
RNAcentral lists this ribosomal RNA (489 nucleotides) under uncultured bacterium. RNAcentral's name for it is "bacterial SSU rRNA". It matches the Rfam family "Bacterial small subunit ribosomal RNA", at positions 30 to 507 of the family's 1533-position model. The record is from RNAcentral.